GGUCAGGCUGGAUGGGGCUCUGAGCAACCUGAUGUAGCUGCUGGUGUCUCUGUUCAUUGCGGGGAAGUUGGACCAGAUGGCCUUUAAUGGUUCCUUCCAACUCAAAUGAUUCUAUGGUUCUAUGAUAUAUGUCUCUUAAUUUCAAUGGACAGUGUUUAAUUAGUCAACUAAUUUUAACCAUGAAAACUUUAAGAAAAAAACUUGACAAGUACUUACUUAUCACUGGUUUUACAGCACUUUGCUUUUUAAAGUAGUUAAAUUUUAGCACUAUGAUUGCAAACUGAGGGUGAUUUGAGAAGAGAGAUUGCUUGCUUGGGAUCUUUCUUAGGAUACUUUUCAAAAAAACGGUGUAAUCAGUAUAACAAGUGGGUGCAAUAGCAGUAUCACCCAUGCUACAAAACGCUUAGUAAAUUAAUGUCUUUUGAAAGUAGUGGCAUUGUUCUUUUGCUCAGAGAGAUCUAAAAUGUCAACUAAUGGAUAAAUACUCAUUUUCUUUGAAGAGCAGUUUGUAAUUUUCUCUUGGGAUGAAUGAUUUCCCCAAAUUCAAGCACAUCACAUUGGUGCAUUUGAAAGCUGAGUGAACAGAAUUGUAUUUUUCAAGUAAUAAAUUCUCUAAAAAGGAAAUCACAUUAGUUUGAUGAAUACAGUGAAUGGUUGUUUGUUAUACACAAUUAACCUCCAUUAAUUGGAGUGGUGAGCUCACAGAAGAGGGACUGCUAGAUAGAUACAAUGAUUUUUGUGAGGAGAAGACAUUUCAGAUAACUUGCCAAAAUAACUUCAUCUCCGGCUGAUGGCACUAAGUUAUGAGUGCGGUACAAAUGAAAGCUGUCUGGGGAGUUAUGGAAGGGCUUCAGGACACUGAGUGAUCAAAAAGUAAACAGGUGAAAUUCAGUGCUGAUGGACAGAGAGCAGCACACAUGCAAACUUUCUUCCAGCUCUAAGGAAAGAGCUUGGGCUGUAACUGUUUUAUAAAAAUAGCAGUGUGGAGGUGCAGGCAAAAUGUAAAAAUAAGUCUGACUGGAAUUGCCGGCAGAGGCGUAAAGAACAAAACAGAGAUCACUGUUGUGCUACGGCUUAAUUCCUCAGCUGAACUAUCUGUUGAAUACCAACCAGAUUUUGGUCACAUGCAUGAACUCAGCUAACAGCAUUGUGUGCAUGUGCAGGUCAGGUGGACCUGCAGGCUGUGGUUUCACUCACUGGUAGCUUCUAAACAGCAGAAAGCACCUCUGUGCUGUGCGGGUGACAGAGCACUGGCACGGGCUGCCCAGAGAGGCUGUGGGGUCUUCUUCUUGGAGAUCUUCAAAAGUCACCUGGACAAGGGCCUGGGCAUGCUGCUCUAAGUGUCCCUGCUGGAGCAGGGGUUGGGCCAGAUGGAGCCGGAGGGUCCUUCCAGCCUCAGCUAUUCUGUGGUUCCUUGCUGCGCAUACUUAGCCAUCACACUCCCAUUUGCAGGCAUGUAAACAGGCACACCCACAAAACACAAAUCAGACAUAAAUCAGCAGAGACAUUUCUGUAUGAGCCCGAGGACAACCCAGUACAACAGUUCCCAGAGCUGAGGGCCACUGCUCCUGGCUGUGGAGGCACUGAUGUCAAAAAGCUGAGUGCAGCAGGAAGCCCAGCUAGCAGCAGUCCCAUCUCAGGCCUGGGAGUGUGUGGGGCCUCAGCCAGGUCUGGGCUGCCCACAGGGGAUGUGUGUUGUGAAGUUUGGGAUGUUACUGUACAGAGAUAAGGGGGAAGUGGGGUGUCACAGUUCUGUCAAGAGCAGUGCCAGUGAAAUGUCUGAUUUCACAAUCCGUUUUUGUCCUUGGGGAAAAAAAAAUGUUAUCAGCUCUGUCUCCCUCUAUUUAAUUUAGUGGCCAUCGGGGACAAUUGCUCAGUCAUAGAGAGAUGAGUUUCAGUGACUGCUGCCCUGAUACCGUAAGCUUUCCUGCUUCUGCAAGCACUGAAGCCUGAUAUAUAUCCUGCAGAAUGGAGAAGAAUGGAGCAUUUUCCACUUUAGGUCUUUGCUCAAGGAGUCAUUCUGUGGCCUCACCAAGGUCCGCACACCCAACGAAUCUGACUGCAGCAAAAAGAGUUCCUCACUUCGAUUAUCUUACAGAGAAGGGCAAAACUGGAUGAUUAGAUUUAGUUUGCCAUUUUGACAGCUAGAAGUGGACGUUCUGCUCUCCUGGAUUAAAAACCUGUUUAACCCUACUAAUUUCAUUUGGACCAAGUACAAGGUCACUCCAGGGCACAUGGGCAUUCACUGCUACCCUCCCAUGGAAUGGAGAUGCUCCAGCCCCAUUGCCUGCAGACUCAGCUGUAGAAUGGGCUUCUUGUGGACUCCCUGUUCUCUCAACUCACACCAGAAUUUCACCUGGGGAGUUUCUGGAGAGCUGUGCUUCCUUUUUCCAGAGGCCUUGGGAGGCUGGGGUGCUGACGCAGCUUUCCGAUAUGUUGCAUGUUGACAUGACAUCCCGGUGUGGCAGAGAGAAGACCUUUAGUGCUGACGUGCCACAACUCCGUGGACUCAGAAGUGAAGAUGCAAAAGCCCAGCACAACAGGACUACAAGAAAGACACUGAGGCCCUGGAGUGUGACCAGAGAAGAGACACAAAGCUGUGUGAGCUACAGAGAACCCUGCCUGGCAGGUAAACCCACAUGAGGAGCACACCUGAAUGCUGAGAACCCCUAGGAACUUUGUGGCCAUCUAUCAGCACCGACACAUAGAAACUGAGGAAUUGGAGCACACCUGCAGCCUCCUGGAAGCCAGACUGAGAGAAAAGAGGCUCCUGAAGGAAUAUUGGCAGCUGUUCCUGGGCAGCGCUGCACUGAAAAAGUUGCUGUGACGAGAAAAUUGUAGGCCAGAAUGAGGAUGUGAAAUAAUGCUGAUCUCCAGCAGUUACAAGCUGAAAAGGAGGAGCUUGAAGAAAAACAUCAGGGGACUAAAUGCUGGGAUAUAUGAUGAACAAAAUAUUCCCACAUGCUGGAACUCAGUAUGUAAGUGAAGCUCUGAUGUUAAGCACAAAACCAGGGAAAAAUGUAGCCGUAGGGAAGGAGUUGUAGGUGCACACUUAAAGUAUGACCCUGCUAAGUCUUCCCUCUGAAGCCUGGAGAAGUACCAGGCCGCGUAUUAAUGGGCGCAUGUGUGUCCAUUGUACUCAGGGCUCUGCAGACCUUGCCUGCAAGUUGUUCAGUGCUCCCACAUAGAAUUCAUAGAAUAUCCUGAGCUGGAAGAGACCCACAAGGAUCGUCAAGGCUAACUCCAGGCUCCACAAAGGACCAUCCAAGAAGCAGACCAUACGUCCGAGAGUGUGCCCUGGGCAGCCUCUUCCAUGCCCACCUCCUUCUGGUGAAGGACCUUUCUCUAACCUCCACUUGACCCUCCCUGGAUACUGGCUACCUGCCUUUCCCUCAGGCCCUGUCACUGUCACCAGAGAGCAGAGCUCAGCACUGCCCCUCUGCUCCCUGUGAGGAGCUGCAGGCUGCAGUGAGGCCUCCCCUCAGCCUCAGCUUAAUUCAGUUAGUGUUUGAUUUGAACAACCAGCCCCAAAGCCUGCAUAAAUAUAUGUAUUUCAGAGGAAAAAUGGAUUACUGCAAGCUACAUCAACUGACCUAACUUCUCUGCAAAGCUGGUGCCCCUUUGUGCUUAAAGGACUAUGUGUGGGCAGCUGAGUUAAUUCCUGCAUCCCAGCUGAAGGACAGUAACCUCUGGCUAAGGACAAACCUUUGAAACAGGGGGAAAGAAAUGCACUGAUGACUGUGGUAGACUCUGUCAAGGAAGACGAUACCUUACUUUUUUCCACACCACUGCGGACAUCAAGUGCUACAGGUGCUGUGUUGGUGACCAAGCUAGAGUUCGCACCAGGGCUCUUGGGAGCUGAGAAGAAUGUGAGAACUGAAGACAGCGUUCCUCUACACAUGCUGGGAGAGAAUCAUCCACUCAUCCAUUUUGCUUAACAGAGUAGAAGUGACCAUGUAAUAGAGACCCAGUGAACAGGAGCCAGGAGCACUGACUUUAGUAAGUAAAGGCUACACACCAUGUCCUCGGCCUUUCCAGAAUGCAGCAAGGAUGCAUCAAGAAGGAAGUCCUCUUAUCUAUAUCAUCAGUCUGGCAAGCAGCUAAAUGUUGAGACUGAUGAAGUGCAAUGGCUGUUGCUGUGCUGUCCACGAUGACAACUUGGGCUGCAGAGAUGUCCCUUACUGCAGAGACCUUAGGAUAAAAUGUCCUAAGAGGCAGCAGAGACAAGAGGACUUUUAAUUUGAAGAUCAUUGAGAUAGCGGUUUGUGAGUCGUGAAUAAGAAGUAACCCCUGUAACCAGUCUCUAGAUGAUUCAUUUCACUUUCAAUACUGCAAGACAAAUUUGUUCUAAUCUAUGGGCUUCAGAGGAGCUGGACUUGAGAUGAAUUUGUCCUGUUGUGUCUUCGCAACAUAUAGGAUUGGACACCGUACUUUGUCCUAUUGAAAACAAUAUUCAACAGCCUAAGGCCAGGGACCAGUCCCUGCAGAACCUCAUUAGAAACACCUCCACUUGACCAUAUUCUCCUGUUUACAGAAGUGAAAAAUGUAUUUGUAACUUGCGUGCAAAGGAAGGCCAAAAAAGAAUAGGUCUUGGAAGAUGAUGGGUGCAUAAUCACAGAAGAGAAUUAGUAGUAAAAAGCCUUCAGAAACAGAAAAAGAAGCGAUUAGAAAAGAAAACUACAUCUUAAUGCUCAUGAAGUAUCAGAACAACCAAGCAGCAUCUGGUAUUAUGAAAACCGUUAUAAGGGAUAAACAAAUGGGACCAUUUUCCCAGGGGGAUGUUAUGGUCCUACACUUAAAUGAAUACUCCAUUUCUCAGAAAGAAAAUUGAUUCUAUUUGAGUAAGUCUGGGCACAGAUGCAGGGAAAUGCCAUUUACUCUCCCCAAGGUGGAAGCAAAACUCAUGGAGGUCAGUGCAUAUGGAUCAGAUGGGCUGGGCAGUACUCAUUCUAUGUACUGAAUGAACUAGCACUGAGAUUGUAAAGUUUUUUAAUGAACCUAGCAGGCUGAGAGCUCUUACCAUAUGAGAAGCAAAUAGUAAAUGUACUGUCUGUUAUAUCAGAAGGGGAAAAAGCAACUUCAACAACAGGACCAUUGAAAGAAAGGAAGAAAAUAAACUGAUGAAGUGCAACUUGGUUUCAUGAAAAAUAAGUUGGGCCAGAGUUGCUUCAUGUUUUUCUUUGAUGAGAUAACUGAUUUUCUAGACAAGAAAAAAGUAGAUCUAGUUUAUCUGGAUUUUCUUUUUUUAUGCAGUACCACACAAGAAGUUAUUAGUUAUGCCAAAGUUUAUAAGGAGAUAAGGCACAGACUAGAAGGCAGAUAACAGCCUUGUAAUGAAAGAGGAAUCAACAGUACUGAAAUGAAUGAUUAGCACAUUCUGCAAAGACUGGUGUUGUGACUGAUACUCAGGUUUUUUCAUUGCUGAUAGGCAGAAUAAUUAAUCCAGUAUCCCUUGUAUAUAAAUGUAUUAUUAUAGUCCCAGUGGGAAUUUCCUUUGGUUGGUAAAUGAAUUUUUCAAAAUUUGAGGUGGGAGAAGGUUGGUCCACAAGGGUUGUUUUGGGAAGCAAUGUUCAAUGUCUUUUAUAGAUUACCUUGGCCUAAAAAAAUAGAUGUUUGUUAAGGAAAUUAGAAGGCUUGGUUAAUGCAAAGGCAGAUAAAGAUUUUCUAUAGAAGAAUAAGGCAACUUGGACAACUAGAACCAUGGAAACAUAUAAAAUGUAAUCCUGUACAAUGAAGAGCUAUGACUUUAGGGAUUCAUAUGAAGUCUGCUUGCUGCGCAAUGGGGACUCAUCAGCUGGAAACAGCUGAGGAGGAAAAAAACACAGAUGACAAUCUCCAAAUAAACCUUAUUGCCUAUGUAUGACCUAGACUGAUAUGAGAAAAAAAAUAUAUAAGUUUUUAACCCGA
Long non-coding RNA from Numida meleagris (helmeted guineafowl), 5907 nucleotides. RefSeq lists it as uncharacterized. The record is from RefSeq and is a predicted model, not a curated record. The transcript has 12 exons. NCBI's taxonomy places the organism in Eukaryota, Metazoa, Chordata, Aves, Galliformes, Numididae.